AUGGAGGGGAGGCUCACGUUCCAGGAUGGUCAUGAAAUUCAGGUCGUGACGCAUAGAUCCUCGACGCACAAGGCCACGGUGAACAGGUUCAUCACGAAGGAGACACAGGCGUACAGGUUUUGCACCAUGCUAUUGGAGGAGACGGCGUGGAGGAACCGGAGCCCGCUGACGACGCAGCCCGACACUCGCCUUUCCCUUCAUGGCGUACAGAUCCUCGACGGUACCAGUGUCCGCAACGACGCGGCCCACGACCGGCCCCUCCUUCAUGAGGGCACACGCUGGGCGCCGGGUCAUCCCUGUCCGUGGAGGACCACGAGCGGCCCUUCCUGGUGUCGCCGGACGCCACCUUCUCCUGCGGCUUCCUCCCCGCCGGAGACGUCGUCGACAACGAUCUUCUACUUCUCCGUCUGGUUCACCGCGGCCACGGACAGGACCGCCGUCUGGACGGCCAACCCCGGCGCCCCCGUCAACGGCCGGGUCUCCCGUGUAUCCUUCGGCGACGGCGGCAAGCUGGCCCUCGCCGACGCCAACGGGACGACCGUGUGGGACAGCAAGAACGCCGGCAGGAAGCACUUCACCGUCUCCCUCCUCGACACCGGCAAUCUUCGGGUCCUGGACCCGUCCACCGGCCGUGCCGUGUGGCAGAGCUUCGACUGGCCGACGGACACCCUGCUCCCGUCGCAGCCGCUGACCAAGGACACGAAGCUCGUCGCCGGCUACUACACCCUCUACUACGACAACGACAACGUGCUGCGGCUCGUGUAUGACGGUCCGGAGAUCGCCAGCAUCUACUGGCCUGACCGGGAUAUAGGCGUGUUCGGGAGCGGCCGGACCAACUACAACAGCUCACGCAUCGCCGUCCUCGACGACACCGGCGUGUUCCUCUCCAGCGACAACCUGCGAACCGAGGCCUCCGACCGGGGCGCCGCCGGCGUCAAGAGGCGGCUAACCAUCGAGCAGGACGGAAACGUGAGGAUGUACAGCAUGGACGCGGCCGGAGGAUGGACGGUCAGGUGGGCUGCGGUGAAGCAGCCGUGCUCCGUCCACGGGCUGUGCGGCAAGAACGCCGUCUGCGAGUACCAGCCGUCCCUCCGGUGCUCCUGCGUGCCGGGGUACGAGAUGGUGGACCGCCGGGACUGGAGGAAGGGCUGCAAGCCGACCUUCAGCCUCCCCACCACCAACUGCAGCACGUCGGAAAAGCGGUUCACGUUCGUCAAGGUGGCGUCCACCGAUUUCUACGGCUACGACGUCGGGUACAACAUCUCGGUCACGUUCGACUACUGCAAGAGCAUCUGCUUGAGCAUGUGCUCCUGCGCCGCCUUCGCCUACAAGAAGGAUGGCACGGGCCAGUGCUACCCCAAAGGGGUCCUCUUCAACGGUUACACGUCGCCCACCGCCCCCGGAAACAUGUAUCUCAAGGUGCCUACCGACCUCCACAACGACGAGGCACCGUCGCCGUCCAUGGUCCUCGACUGCAACCUUAAUGGCUCUGAUGCGGCCAUCGACCCGCCAACAUACGUCGACACGUAUGGGGCACUAAGAAGCGGCCCGAACUUGUCCUACCUCUUCUGGUUCGCCGCGGUGCUGGGAUUUCUCGAGCUACUCUUCGCCGCCACGGCAUGGUGGUUCAUGUCUGGCCAGGAAAGCAUGCCCAGCUCGCUAGAGGCGGGUUACCGGCUGGUCAUGGGGACCCAGUUCAGGAGGUUCACGUAUCGAGAGCUCAAGAAAGUGACUGGGGACUUCAAUGAGGUGCUCGGCCGCGGCGGCUCCGGCGUGGUGUACCGCGGCGUGCUUGACAAGACCACCGUGGUGGCGGUGAAGGAGCUGACAAACGUGUUGCAGGGCGAGGAGGAGUUCUGGGCGGAGAUGACGGUGUUCGGGAGGAUCAACCAUAUCAACCUGGUGAGGACCUGGGGGUUCUGCUCCGAGGGAAAGCACGGAGCCGACUCGAUGGGGACGUGCCUACAAAGUACUUUAACACGUACGGUGGGUGUGGGUUGGGCACAACGCAGGAAGGGCAUGCGUUCCUUGUACACGUCUUGGCUCUUUUCGUGA
This 2055-nucleotide ribosomal RNA is filed under the name Triticum aestivum (bread wheat). RNAcentral's name for it is "partial small subunit ribosomal RNA". The record is from RNAcentral. Lineage: Eukaryota; Viridiplantae; Streptophyta; Magnoliopsida; Poales; Poaceae.